Non-coding RNA from Leptonychotes weddellii (Weddell seal), 409 nucleotides. The record is from RefSeq and is a predicted model, not a curated record. NCBI's taxonomy places the organism in Eukaryota, Metazoa, Chordata, Mammalia, Carnivora, Phocidae.
GCCGUGGAAGCCCCCUCUCAAUAUUUGUGGUUUAUGUCGCUUCUGAGAGUCAGGAAUCUAGGACUGGCUUAUUUGGGGGCUUCUGGCUCAGGAUCUCCCGUGAGGUUGCAAUCAAGAUGUUGGCCAGGACUGCAAUCAUCUGAAGGAGAAGUGAAUCCUAACACCGGGAGACUUCGGCGGAUGAGAAGAGAAGGCACCAAAAGCAAAGGUCCAGAGGACACACCCUAAUCCCUACUGAGGACCUUCCAGGAAUCUAUGAAUUCAGUGGUCCUGCCACAUCAGGGACCCGAUCUCCCAGGAGAAGAAAGGGGCUCCAAGUGGUAUUAUCUGCAAUCAUAACCCAGAGGAAUUAGCUGCUCUUCCCAAAGACACUUGAUGGCAUAAACCAGAACUCCCAUUUCUAGUCCAG